This 252-nucleotide ribosomal RNA is filed under the name uncultured bacterium. RNAcentral's name for it is "partial 16S ribosomal RNA". It matches the Rfam family "Bacterial small subunit ribosomal RNA", at positions 524 to 775 of the family's 1533-position model. The record is from RNAcentral.
UACGUAGGGCGCAAGCGUUGUCCGGAAUUAUUGGGCGUAAAGAGCUCGUAGGCGGCCUGUUGCGUCCGCUGUGAAAUCCCGGGGCUUAACCCCGGGCGUGCAGUGGAUACGGGCAGGCUGGAGGCAGGCAGGGGAGAACGGAAUUCCGGGUGUAGCGGUGGAAUGCGUAGAGAUCCGGAAGAACACCGGUGGCGAAGGCGGCCUGCUGGGCAGUAGCUGACGCUGAGGCGCGACAGCGUGGGGAGCAACAGG